GUAGCGUGGACUCCCAGCGCCCUUGGCGAAACGGUUAUUGGGCGCCCCUUACUUUCAUGCAUGUUCAAAACAAAAAGCAUGAUAAGAGCUAGGAUAUUUCUGAAAUCAAUUAGCCUGGGUCCUUGCUCAUUGCUCGAUCCUGGGAAAUGAGAAAGCGGACUCUUUGGAUAAGGUAGGCGAUAUGGAAGUUCGUUAGGAAACCUUGAUCAGCUGGCAGCAGGAAUGGGAAGUUGGGUAGAUGGCUGUAUUUAAUCUGAUCUAAAGGAACAUCUCCGGGUCCGAAGAAAACAACCAAAGGAAAAGGAAAAGAAGUGAAUGGCAACUAUGUGAACAUCAGCAUCGUUGUUACCACUUAAGCACCUUGAAUUCCCUUCAUUUUCUACUAUUUUAUAGUAUUCCAUAACCAAAUUGCGAGUCUUUCUGUUUCGCAAAACUAACAUUAGUGCAUAAGAAUCAUGAAAAUUUGUGAUUGAAACUUGACACCGCAAUGCUUAACGGCAAAUGAGCCUUCCAAAUAAACGAAAGUUUUUUUUAAUAUUUUUUUUCGC
Molecule: long non-coding RNA, 548 nt
Organism: Armigeres subalbatus
Lineage: Eukaryota; Metazoa; Arthropoda; Insecta; Diptera; Culicidae
Exons: 3
Source: RefSeq, a predicted model, not a curated record